Molecule: ribosomal RNA, 33 nt
Filed under: Najas flexilis
Lineage: Eukaryota; Viridiplantae; Streptophyta; Magnoliopsida; Alismatales; Hydrocharitaceae
Description: partial 26S ribosomal RNA
Source: RNAcentral
CCCANGUCAGGCGAGGCCACCCGCUGAGUUUAA